UUUUUAUUGUCUUUGGGAGAAGGAUGUUAGGUUACCACUAAGGUUCACAACAAAAACAGCACAUGUAAGCACAAAACAGCAACUUCAUGAGAAAUUAUUAAAUAGGACUGAUGCAUCAAGUCUCAACUCAGUAUGCUGUUUUGGCGCACACAGAAAGGUCACAGUUCUUCUUUGGGUGUUGCACAGUAAAAAAGCAUAUAUGAGCCAAAACCAGUACUUCAAUAAGAAAUAAAUAAGUAGCUUGGUUCAUCAAGUCUCACAUCAAUGAUAAAAUGCCAUGUCUUGUGUUGUUUGA
RNAcentral lists this unclassified non-coding RNA (295 nucleotides) under Hevea brasiliensis (rubber tree). Lineage: Eukaryota; Viridiplantae; Streptophyta; Magnoliopsida; Malpighiales; Euphorbiaceae. The record is from RNAcentral.